RNAcentral lists this ribosomal RNA (301 nucleotides) under uncultured bacterium. RNAcentral's name for it is "partial 16S ribosomal RNA". It matches the Rfam family "Bacterial small subunit ribosomal RNA", at positions 509 to 807 of the family's 1533-position model. The record is from RNAcentral.
CAGCCGCCACGGUAAUACGAAGGGGGCUAGCGUUGUUCGGAUUUACUGGGCGUAAAGGGCGCGUAGGCGGACUGAUAAGUCAGGGGUGAAAUCCCAAGGCUCAACCUUGGAACUGCCUUUGAUACUGUUUGUCUUGAGUUCGAGAGAGGUAAGUGGAACUGCGAGUGUAGAGGUGAAAUUCGUAGAUAUUCGCAAGAACACCAGUGGCGAAGGCGGCUUACUGGCUCGAAACUGACGCUGAGGCGCGAAAGCGUGGGGAGCAAACAGGAUUAGAUACCCCUGUAGUCCCUGUCUCUUAUAC